Molecule: long non-coding RNA, 759 nt
Filed under: Prunus dulcis (almond)
Lineage: Eukaryota; Viridiplantae; Streptophyta; Magnoliopsida; Rosales; Rosaceae
Description: sRNA ncRNA
Source: RNAcentral
AUUCCAACCAAUAUCUUUAAAAACUUUUAUAAAACAAAGAAGUUGACUUGCAAAAGGAUUUGUGUUGAUCAAUUAACCUCUUACCCAAGGAAAAGCAGCUGACCCAUCACCCAAGAAAGAGUGAGGAGCAAGAAGCCGAUCCCUACAAAUCCAAAGCAUCCAAAACCCGAUAUCCAAAUCCCAAAUCCUUUUCCCGUGAAAGCUCGACUUUUGAAAGCGCAAAAGCGCUUUUGGCAACAAUGGGCAUAAUGGGAAGCAGCUUCUCGUUUAUAUUGGGCUCAGUGUUCGGCAUCUACGUUGCCCAAAACUACAACGUCCCCAACAUCCAGAAGCUCUCCACCACGGGCCUCUUGAUCGCCAAGCACAUCGAAGAGACUUACCGGAAGCCUAAGAAGAGGGACGACGAGAACCAGAACCAGUAGAUCUCGCCGUACGACAUCGUUCCGAAACAGGUUCUUUUCUCGUCGUGGAGAGUGAAGCGCAUCUUUAUUUCGUUGGGAAUAUGUAUGUAUUAUUUUUCAUUUUUUAGUGUUGGGUUUUGAUGGAAAUCUGAGCCUUUUGCUUUUGGUCCCAGUAAUGGAUGCAAUUUCUGUUGUGAAUGUAGUUCUUUUCUCCGUUUGGUUGCUGAGAAAGUGUAGGAAUUGAAAGGAAAUUUUUGGGAUUUUGUUCAAUUGGCUAUUCAAUUUGGAAAUUUGUUCAAUGUGCAUAGCUGCCUUCCUAGUUCUUAAUGCUAAUGUCUGUUCAAUGAUUGGAUUCUCC